CUAUCUGAGUCUGAGGGCAAAGCCACUGGCAGCCUUGUAUUUAGCCUAAUGUUUUGGGCCCCAACAGCCAUAAUUACAGACUUGGUAAUCAUAUUCACUGAAGACGUCAAAAGGGUUUCUAUGACACAACAGCCGCAAGUUAAAUACCGU
Molecule: small RNA, 150 nt
Filed under: Yersinia frederiksenii
Lineage: Bacteria; Pseudomonadati; Pseudomonadota; Gammaproteobacteria; Enterobacterales; Yersiniaceae
Description: PepN 5' UTR thermometer
Rfam family: PepN 5' UTR thermometer
About the family: Position upstream of pepN gene responsible for amino acid processing.
Source: RNAcentral